ACGGCCGCGGUACUCUGACCGUGCAAAGGUAGCACAAUCACUUGUUCUCUAAAUAGGGACUAGAAUCAACGGCAUCACGAGGGUCUUACUGUCUCCCUUUUCUAAUCAGUGAAACUGAUCUUCCCGUGAAGAAGCGGGAAUAACUUUAUAAGACGAGAAGACCCCAUGGAGCUUCAAACUCAAUAGUUACCCCAUGCAAACUACACGACAACUUAGGGAAAUAACUAUUAAUUUUAGGUUGGGGUGACCACGGAGAAUAGCCUAACCUCCGCAAUGAAAAGAAUGAUAUCCUUAUCUAUGAGAUACAUCUCUAAGAAUUAACAAAUUAGCAUAAAAUGAUCCGAUCUAUUUACCAUUCGAUCAAUGAACCAAGUUACCCUGGGGAUAACAGCGCCAUCCACUUUGAGAGUUCAUAUCGACAAGUGGGUUUACGACCUCGAUGUUGGAUCAGGGUAUCCCAGUGGUGCAGCCGCUACUAAAGGUUCGUUUGUUCAACGAUUAAAACCCU
This 508-nucleotide ribosomal RNA is filed under the name Ptychadena aff. uzungwensis 'Njombe'. RNAcentral's name for it is "partial 16S ribosomal RNA". It matches the Rfam family "Bacterial large subunit ribosomal RNA", at positions 1927 to 2597 of the family's 2925-position model. The record is from RNAcentral. Lineage: Eukaryota; Metazoa; Chordata; Amphibia; Anura; Ptychadenidae.